UCUGCCAUUAUAACGAUCAGGUUGUGUUCUGGGCCUAAUAUCUGUGUUGUUGCUCUGCUAUGAAAUAUUAGGGGUUGGAGAUUGAAGGGGAGUUGCCUGAGAAAAAGACUUGUUAUGAAGGAGUAUUUUAUAAUUACUUUAGCAUAGGAAUGGAUGCUCAGGUGGCUUACGACUUUCAUCAUUUACGUAAUGAGAAACCUUACCUGGCACAAGGACCAAUUUAUAAUAAGGUCUGGUUUGUUAUCUUAUUAUGUGAAAAGUCUUGUGAUUACAGACUAUUACCAAUGAUUUUUUAGAACUAAAAUUGUUAUUUGGAUAUUUGUAUCUUGAUG
Long non-coding RNA from Humulus lupulus (European hop), 332 nucleotides. RefSeq lists it as uncharacterized. The transcript is spliced from 3 exons. The record is from RefSeq and is a predicted model, not a curated record. NCBI's taxonomy places the organism in Eukaryota, Viridiplantae, Streptophyta, Magnoliopsida, Rosales, Cannabaceae.